CUUUCCCUCUGUCGGUAGGCCUAACACAUGCAAGUCGAACGGCAGCACAGUAAGAGCUUGCUCUUACGGGUGGCGAGUGGCGGACGGGUGAGGAAUACAUCGGAAUCUACUUUUUCGUGGGGGAUAACGUAGGGAAACUUACGCUAAUACCGCAUACGACCUACGGGUGAAAGCAGGGGAUCUUCGGACCUUGCGCGAUUGAAUGAGCCGAUGUCGGAUUAGCUAGUUGGCGGGGCAAAGGCCCACCAAGGCGACGAUCCGUAGCUGGUCUGAGAGGAUGAUCAGCCACAAUGGAACUGAGACACGGUCCAGACUCCUACGGGAGGCAGCAGUGGGGAAUAUUGGACAAUGGGCGCAAGCCUGAUCCAGCCAUACCGCGUGGGUGAAGAAGGCCUUCGGGUUGUAAAGCCCUUUUGUUGGGAAAGAAAAGCAGCAGGUUAAUACCCCGCUGUUCUGACGGUACCCAAAGAAUAAGCACCGGCUAACUUCGUG
RNAcentral lists this ribosomal RNA (492 nucleotides) under uncultured bacterium. Its description in RNAcentral is "partial 16S ribosomal RNA". It matches the Rfam family "Bacterial small subunit ribosomal RNA", at positions 36 to 507 of the family's 1533-position model. The record is from RNAcentral.